This 254-nucleotide ribosomal RNA is filed under the name uncultured bacterium. RNAcentral's name for it is "partial 16S ribosomal RNA". It matches the Rfam family "Bacterial small subunit ribosomal RNA", at positions 524 to 776 of the family's 1533-position model. The record is from RNAcentral.
GACGAACCGUGCGAACGUUAUUCGGAAUCACUGGGCUUAAAGCGCGUGUAGGCGGGACGGCACGUCGGUCGCUGAAAGCCCCGGGCUCAACCUGGGAACUGCAUUUGAGACUGGAGAGCUUGAGUUCGGGAGAGGGUGGUGGAAUUCCGGGUGUAGUGGUGAAAUGCGUAGAUAUCGGGAGGAACACCUGUGGCGAAAGCGGCUCACUGGACCACAACUGACGCUGAUGCGCGAAAGCUAGGGGAGCAAACAGG